This 144-nucleotide unclassified non-coding RNA is filed under the name uncultured Ascomycota. RNAcentral's name for it is "sequence contains ITS1". Lineage: Eukaryota; Fungi; Ascomycota. The record is from RNAcentral.
CAGAGUGCCCCUGGCUCUGCUAACCCCGCGAACAGUACCAUGUUGCCUCGGCGGCGCACUGCUACCAGCAGCGCCCGCCGGCGGCCAUCAAAAUUCAAACUCUUGCAGUCGCCGUCAAUCUGACUAAAGCUUCAUAAUAAGUAA